UAUGUUUUAGUAUAAUAUGUACAAAAAUUUUUGAAGUUUUUAGUAAUAAUUUAAUUUAUUAAGCAUAU
RNAcentral lists this transfer RNA (68 nucleotides) under Cucujoidea sp. 35 KM-2017. RNAcentral's name for it is "tRNA-Gln". Lineage: Eukaryota; Metazoa; Arthropoda; Insecta; Coleoptera. The record is from RNAcentral.